Molecule: long non-coding RNA, 761 nt
Filed under: Polistes fuscatus (common paper wasp)
Lineage: Eukaryota; Metazoa; Arthropoda; Insecta; Hymenoptera; Vespidae
Description: uncharacterized LOC122521614
Source: RNAcentral
ACAGUUGUCUCGAAGAAAUAAACGGAAGAACGUUUUUAAUCCGAAAACCGUGGAAUAUGAUGAUAGCAGUUUGAUUAUGAGGCCUUACCACCUGAUGUUGCAACAGCUAUUUUUCCAAUUUACGAAGAUCUAAGUAACAAAAAAUUAUUGGAACGAUGCGUUGGUGGUUUUACCCAGAACAAUAAUGAAAGUUAUAAUCAGCUGAUAUGGAAAAUAACUCCAAAAAUUAUUCCAGCUGGCUCUAAAAUUGUGGAAAUAGCUGCAAACAUUGCAGCCGGGGUCUUUAAUGAAGGUAAAACAUCUCUUCUUUAUUAUAUGAGUGCUAUGGGAUUAUCACUUGGACCCAAUGCUCAUUCCUUCGUGAGUAAAGAGGACGCAGAGCGCAUCUCAAUUUCGGACGCAAGAGCGCAAGGGUCGACGCGCGAGGGGAGAAUGGCUCGUAGACAACAACAACUAAACAUUUUGGAGGUAAACGACGAAGCAGAGGGUUCCUCUUAUGGUGCUGGAAUAGAUGACACGAUAUAAUUUGGACCAGAGAUAUCUUGCUCACCGCCAAGCACUUUUUUUUGGAGGUCUCUCCGCAGAUCAUCUACAGGAGCUAGGGGAUCCAAUAUUUUUUAAAUAAAUUUCUGAUUGUUAAAGUACAUUAAAUUCUGUUUAAGUACAUUUUUUCCAUUAAUGUAUAAAAUUAAAUGCCUCUUUGGAAAAAAUUCACAAAAAAACGCGUUUUUUCUGCCUCGCAAGUGGAUAUAACCCCUUAA